CCUAGAGUUGUAGGCUUUGCCUGCUAUCUCUUACCCACUGUCUUUUGAGUACCUUCGUUUCCUCGGCGGGUCCGCCCGCCGAUUGGACAAUUUAAACCAUUUGCAGUUGCAAUCAGCGUCUGAAAAAACUUAAUAGUUA
This 139-nucleotide unclassified non-coding RNA is filed under the name soil metagenome. RNAcentral describes it as "partial internal transcribed spacer 1". The record is from RNAcentral.